GAUUAGAAUAAGUACCGGUCUCGUUACGGUAAUUGCCGCAGGCUGCCUCAGAACCAGCGCAAGCGCCAACCUCGCGGUGUCCCUGGGGGUGGCGGAGCGGCGCUCGCCCUCACUGCCGCGCGCAGGACCCAGGUGCCCGGGCGGCUGCGGCACUCGUGCAGCGUGCUCGGCCGGGCCCCCGGCUGCAGCGCUGCGGGGCUCCAGGACCUCCACAUGGACACGUGAGCUGCUGCUCCACAGACGUGCGGGUUCGGAUGGAGGGGACGCGAGGGCUCUGCUCUCUAAACCUGCAGCUCUGGUGCUCGGCAGACGCAGCUGAUGACCAGACGUCGCCUCUGUUACCAUCAUGUUUUACUCCAUCGUUUCCAUCACAGAGCAGAGGAAGGUGACUGGGUGCUCCCACCACUGGAGCAGCAUCAGCCCAACAACAGCACAUCUCCUCCCCAGCACCAGUGCACAAGAGCUGGUGUCGCAGCCAGAGGACACAAACCAGCACCGACACCUGUUAUUUAAUGUAGCUUCAGAGCAUUGCUUUGGUCAUCCUGGCCAGCACCUCGUCCUGUGUCAGGGAAUUGUGUCCUCAGAGGGGUUUUCACAUGUGUGGCCACCCAACAACCACUCCUCUCCCCUGGACAGCAGGUGAAGGAUGGGGAUGCUGCCCAGCCCCUGCUCCACCUCUGCUUCCCCGCUGUCGUCUGCUCAUCCAGCACCCGUUCUGUGCCUAUAGCUAGGAAUUAGUUACCAUCAUCACAGAGAUCAUUUAGCGGAGAGCCAGGAGGGUGCCACCAGUCUCGCAUAGUGGCAGCACCUCCAUUAAAACCAGUUUAAUUGCGGUACCUUGUUCAGGGUCAGACAGGUCAGUACCUCGUGUGUGCAGCCGCCCCAGCCCAUCAAGCCCAGUGCUGCGCAGUGGAGCAGCAGCUGUCCUUGGUGCCCAUCGCCCAUGGGAGGUGUCUGGUCACUGCAGUGGCAGUGUCCCGGGCACCCACCAGCGCUGCUGCCCUGCUGGGCGCAGCCUCUGACCCGCAGCAGACAGCAGCGAUUCCUCAGCCGCGGCACCAUUUGCGAUGGCGGCUGGAACCAGAGGAACAGACACAACCCAAUUCCCUUGAAGAGCAAAGGCCAUGACUCACCGCAGCGACCUCCUGGGUGUCCACCCCUUGUCACCGCAGCCGGGCCCCGGUCUGCACCCUGUGGCCUCGCUAGUUAGAACAAGCAGAUCUGCAGGUGUUGGCGGGCAGCAUCCUCCC
This 1250-nucleotide long non-coding RNA is filed under the name Strigops habroptila (Kakapo). RNAcentral's name for it is "lncRNA (ENSSHBG00005004831.1)". The record is from RNAcentral. Lineage: Eukaryota; Metazoa; Chordata; Aves; Psittaciformes; Psittacidae.